CCCGGGGCGUCAGCUCACGCAGGGUUGUAGAGGAGGAUUGGAGUACUGGACAUCGCUUACAUGGAGGGCCAUGUCUAUGAGCACUUUGCCAAUGGCAAGCACGACAGCUACCAGAUCGACUACCGCCUCAUUGUGGGCGACACAGAGCCAGCCAGAUUGCAGCUGUCGCCUCGCGACCCUGAGCACCAGGGGCCAUUUGGCCACAACACAUCUCAUGGGCAUGAGACUGCAGCUCAGCGCUACAGCGCCACGCGCAUCCAGGCUGGCUACGAACCAGAGAGGUGAGACUCCUACGGUUUCAAAGGAGUGCUGAUCAGCAAAAUUAACCAUGUUUGCAUCACUAGGUUAACGUUAGUGUCACUAAACAAGUUCAUUAGGAGUGGACUUUAUUUUUCUUUUGGAUUGUGUACUUUUAAACUGUUGCACAGACUGGGUUGGGUUCUCAGUGAUGUGCAAUUUUAGCCCAAUUCCAUAUUGUUGGUCUCAGAAGAACACAUUCCUUUCGGGGAUUAUCAUCACAUAAAAUAGACCUAUACAUUUACAGUCUCUACAGAGAAAUACAGUCAUGUCAUAGUAUAAUAAAAUGUCCUAAUGUGUAAAUAGUGAUGUUUACUCAUUUAUAAUGUCCAGCACUACUCAAAUAUAACUGCUUGCCUUCUUUGCCCAUCAUAUUAACAUUCCCAUGUCAGCAGAGUAAAAAGGACCAUAAAUCUGAUUAAGAAUUAUAUUAUCAAGACCGAUAUAAUCUGUGUUGUAGAACAGAUAUGAAAACAUUUUGCCAUAGCAAUGCUCAAAAGCAUCACAUUCCAUUUGUUUUACAGACCCAUAUCUCUGUACAUUUCAAUUUACAGAAUGGACUAAAUUAACUUCCAGGUGUUUAAAGCUCAGUUGGGGGCUGUGUCAGAUCCUUUGUGAAUAACAUAAUAAAGUUGAGUAUUGGGCAGCCUGACCACGGCUUCAAAACGAUUGUGUGGAUUUGCUACAUCACCAGUCCUCCUUUUAUAAGCAAGAUGAUUAUUUCAACCCAAGUCAAAAACAUUUUUUGUCUCAUCCAAACGGAAUUUUCACACCUGAACUAUUAGGCCACCUAAUAGCGUGGACAGUAAAACAAAGGCGCAUCGCCCGUCUGCUCUCUCUUAACAUGUCCCGUCGUCAUCCACCACGUUGAGAGGAUGAGAGUUUUCUCAAACUGAGCAGGUCGAGUCUUUAAAAUGUGUAAACUCCAACUGUGAUUCUGGGUGAUUUAGCUAAGGGCUAGACUUUCGCUUGACUUUGAGAGAUGCCACAGAGGCUAGUCUGUAACGGUCGCAGAUGAAGACCAGCUGUGUUCCUUGACGUCGUUUUUUGUUGUCUGAAGUACGCGACGCUAUCGUCUUUAUGGCUGACUACCUGAUCAGUGGGGGUACAGGCUAUGUGCCUGAAGAUGGGCUCACUGCCCAGCAGCUUUUUGCUAUCGGAGAUGGUCUCAAAUACAGACUUGGAGAUCAUGACCUCUCUUGUUCUGCUUUUCAAGCCGCCAUCUUUAAUCUCUGUAAUGGAGGCUUUAUCUGCACUAGAUCCCACACUAGAGGACACUCUCAACUGUGGCCUUAUGAUUGUCGUACUGCUGGGAUGCUCUCUCUCUCACACACUGAUGUUCGCAUACGCUGCUCUAUUCUGUUUACAGUUAGGCUUCCUUUGGCUGCCUCUCUGUCUCCCGUGUCCUCUCAAGCAGUGGUGGGACAGUAAUGCCACUUUAAUGGAUAGGCUGUGACAUGACGCAUGCUUAAGAACAUUAACAGGACAUCAUUGGACAACAUACUCUUAGGUAGAUUAACUUAUUCCAUACUCCAGAAUAUGCGCUCAACUCUGCAACUCAAGCAGGUAUGUUCAAUUCUUGCUACUGGGACAUGAAGUUUGAAGUUGAAAUUGACCUCACAUGUAUGCACACAAAGUGUCCGAGCUUCUGCUAGUCGCAGGUGGCUAUGGGAGCAAUCAUCAGUCAUGUCUCAUAGUUCUAUCAGCAUGGGUGUGUGGAGCUCCCCACGGUCAUUUGGUAUAUGAUGCACUAACUGAUACGAAAAUGUGAGGGUGUAGCAUGUAUGUCUCAGUGAACUAAUUGGUAUAUAUUUUUUUAUUUGGCUUGUUUUUCUUUGU
This is a non-coding RNA of Electrophorus electricus (electric eel), 2136 nucleotides long. The record is from RefSeq and is a predicted model, not a curated record. Lineage: Eukaryota; Metazoa; Chordata; Actinopteri; Gymnotiformes; Gymnotidae.